GGGCGCAAGCCUGAUGCAGCCAUGCCGCGUGUAUGAAGAAGGCCUUCGGGUUGUAAAGUACUUUCAGCAGUGAGGAAGGUGGAUAUGUUAAUAGCAUAUUCAUUUGACGUUUAGCUGCAGAAGAAGCACCGGCUAACUCCGUGCCAGCAGCCGCGGUAAUACGGAGGGUGCGAGCGUUAAUCGGAAUUACUGGGCGUAAAGCGCAUGCAGGUGGUUUGUUAAGUCAGAUGUGAAAGCCCGGGGCUCAACCUCGGAAUUGCAUUUGAAACUGGCAAACUAGAGUACUGUAGAGGGGGUAGAAUUUCAGGUGUAGCGGUGAAAUGCGUAGAGAUCUGAAGGAAUACCGGUGGCGAAGGCGGCCCCCUGGACAGAUACUGACACUCAGAUGCGAAAGCGUGGGGAGCAAACAGGAUUAGAUCCCCUGGUAG
RNAcentral lists this ribosomal RNA (428 nucleotides) under uncultured bacterium. RNAcentral's name for it is "bacterial SSU rRNA". It matches the Rfam family "Bacterial small subunit ribosomal RNA", at positions 373 to 793 of the family's 1533-position model. The record is from RNAcentral.